Molecule: ribosomal RNA, 476 nt
Filed under: uncultured bacterium
Lineage: Bacteria
Description: bacterial SSU rRNA
Rfam family: Bacterial small subunit ribosomal RNA
Source: RNAcentral
GCUGGCGGCGUGGAUUAGGCAUGCAAGUCGAACGCGAAAGUUCCCUUCGGGGAGCGAGUAGAGUGGCGAAAGGGUGAGUAAUGCUUGGAUGACCUGCCCUCGAGACGGGGACAACAGUUCGAAAGGACUGCUAAUACCCGAUAGUCCGGUUUAGAUGCGUCUAGAUCGGUAAAUGGUGCUUCCGCUCGAGGAGGGGUUCAAGUCCUAUCAGCUUGUUGGUGAGGUAACGGCUCACCAAGGCGAUGACGGGUAGCCGGACUGAGAGGUUGGCCGGCCACAUGGGAACUGAGACACUGUCCUGACUCCUACGGGAGGCUGCAGUCGAGAAUCUUCUGCAAUGGGCGAAAGCCUGACAGAGCGACGCCGCGUGGAGGAUGAAGGCCCUCGGGUCGUAAACUCCUGUCACAUGUUAUGAAACGCACAGGUCUACCUGUGCGCUGACAAAAGCAUGAGAGGAAGUCACGGCUAACUUCGUG